This 29-nucleotide non-coding RNA is filed under the name Mus musculus (house mouse). Lineage: Eukaryota; Metazoa; Chordata; Mammalia; Rodentia; Muridae. The record is from RNAcentral.
UCAGUUGUUGCUUCAUACCAAGCCAGUGG